This 1367-nucleotide ribosomal RNA is filed under the name Leptolyngbya sp. PCC 73110. Its description in RNAcentral is "bacterial SSU rRNA". It matches the Rfam family "Bacterial small subunit ribosomal RNA". Lineage: Bacteria; Bacillati; Cyanobacteriota; Cyanophyceae; Leptolyngbyales; Leptolyngbyaceae. The record is from RNAcentral.
CUUACACAUGCAAGUCGAACGGUCUCUUCGGAGAUAGUGGCGGACGGGUGAGUAACGCGUGAGAACAUGCCUUUAGAUUGGGGACAACAGUUGGAAACGACUGCUAAUACCGAAUGUGCCUUAGGGUGAAAGAUUUAUUGUCUAGAGAUUGGCUCGCGUCAGAUUAGCUAGUUGGAGUGGUAACGGCACACCAAGGCGACGAUCUGUACUUGGUCUGAGAGGAUGACCAGGCACACUGGAACUGAGACACGGUCCAGACUCCUACGGGAGGCAGCAGUGGGGAAUUUUCCGCAAUGGGCGAAAGCCUGACGGAGCAAUACCGCGUGAGGGAGGACGGCUUUUGGGUUGUAAACCUCUUUUAUCAGGGAAGAAUCGAUGACGGUACCUGAUGAAUCAGCAUCGGCUAACUCCGUGCCAGCAGCCGCGGUAAUACGGAGGAUGCAAGCGUUAUCCGGAAUUAUUGGGCGUAAAGCGUCCGUAGGUGGUUUAUCAAGUCUGCUGUCAAAGCGUGCGGCUUAACCGCAUAAGGGCAGUGGAAACUGAUGAACUAGAGUGCGAUAGGGGUAACAGGAAUUCCCAGUGUAGCGGUGAAAUGCGUAGAUAUUGGGAAGAACACCAGCGGCGAAAGCGUGUUACUGGGUCUGCACUGACACUGAGGGACGAAAGCUAGGGGAGCGAAAGGGAUUAGAUACCCCUGUAGUCCUAGCCGUAAACGAUGACAACUAGGCGUGGUUCGUAUCGACCCGAGCCGUGCCGUAGCCAACGCGUUAAGUUGUCCGCCUGGGGAGUACGCACGCAAGUGUGAAACUCAAAGGAAUUGACGGGGGCCCGCACAAGCGGUGGAGUAUGUGGUUUAAUUCGAUGCAACGCGAAGAACCUUACCAAGGCUUGACAUCCUCGGAACCCUGAUGAAAGUUAGGGGUGCCUUCGGGAGCCGAGAGACAGGUGGUGCAUGGCUGUCGUCAGCUCGUGUCGUGAGAUGUUGGGUUAAGUCCCGCAACGAGCGCAACCCACGUUUUUAGUUGCCAGCAUUCAGUUGGGCACUCUAGAGAGACUGCCGGUGACAAACCGGAGGAAGGUGUGGAUGACGUCAAGUCAGCAUGCCCCAUACGCCUUGGGCUACACACGUACUACAAUGCGUCGGACAAAGAGCAGCCAGCCAGCGAUGGUGAGCCAAUCUCAUAAACCGGCGCUCAGUUCAGAUUGCAGGCUGCAACUCGCCUGCAUGAAGGCGGAAUCGCUAGUAAUCGCAGGUCAGCAUACUGCGGUGAAUACGUUCCCGGGCCUUGUACACACCGCCCGUCACACCAUGGGAGUUGGUCACGCCCGAAGUCGUUACUCUAACUGCUGCAGAGGAGGACGCCGAA